RNAcentral lists this transfer-messenger RNA (384 nucleotides) under Patescibacteria group. RNAcentral's name for it is "CAIRBL01 sp018062885 Standard tmRNA". It matches the Rfam family "transfer-messenger RNA". Rfam says of the family: Bacterial tmRNA, also known as 10Sa RNA or SsrA, is named for its dual tRNA and mRNA-like properties. Its role is to liberate the mRNA from a stalled ribosome. The record is from RNAcentral. RNAcentral also lists the same sequence under 1 other name.
GGGGAUGUUUUAUAUUCGAUGGUAAAUGAAAUAAUGCACCGCAAUUUGAGCUGAUUAGCUCAUUAAACUGAUCAAAAAAGUAAGUGCAAAAAACUUAUUUGCGAAAGCCAAAGGACUUUUCCAAGUUCCUCAACUUUCACCAGUUUUAGCCUAAACUGCUAAAACCGUCUCUUGUCGUUGACUUCAAGGCGACUUUCGAGGCGUCAUAAACUUGAAGCUAGAAAUAUUUAGCUUUAGCCUAAAUAUUUUGAAACCAUUGCUAAAUUAGAUUAUUUGUUUUUUGUUGUUUUUAUAGCAAUAAUCGAAACAAAAAAGACAACUAUAUUUGUAGACGUGUAUUUGGACAUCUAUCAGACAGGGGUGUGAUUCCCCUCAUCUCCACCA